AAGUCAUAACAAGGUUUCUGUAGGUGAACCUGCAGAAGGAUCAUUAGUGAAUCUAUGGUUGUGGAUUCGUCCCAACCUAUUCUUCUUUUGAUACACCUGUGCACCGGUAGAGGUUGUCGCUUGUCGAUGGCCCUACCAACUUCAUACCAAACACAUUUCUGUUUUGAACGUAACAUCUUAUAAUAAAAGAUAACUUUUGACAACGGAUCUCUUGGUUCUCCCAUCGAUG
This 229-nucleotide unclassified non-coding RNA is filed under the name Exobasidium sp. Its description in RNAcentral is "partial internal transcribed spacer region". The stretch from base 1 to 46 matches the Rfam family "Eukaryotic small subunit ribosomal RNA", at positions 1786 to 1831 of the family's 1831-position model. Lineage: Eukaryota; Fungi; Basidiomycota; Exobasidiomycetes; Exobasidiales; Exobasidiaceae. The record is from RNAcentral.